RNAcentral lists this long non-coding RNA (1325 nucleotides) under Struthio camelus australis. RNAcentral's name for it is "lncRNA (ENSSCUG00000011833.1)". The record is from RNAcentral. Lineage: Eukaryota; Metazoa; Chordata; Aves; Struthioniformes; Struthionidae.
UUCUGUUAGGAGAAUACUCAGAUGCUGUUUAUGUCCUUUUCCUUAGGAACAGUGAAAGGAGAAUAUGCAGAGAAGUUUCCAAGCUCCACUCCUUUGUUCUUGGGUCAAAAGAGAAUUAGAGGUUUUUUUCAGGAGAAGGAUCGCUAGGAGGACAAGAUCAAAGGCACGACGUCCAGCUUUCACAGAGGAUAUCUGUGAUCUUGCAAAAGCAUACAUAAUAUCUCUGGAUUGAAAGGAAAGGUAAAAUCAUCCACUUACUUACUCUGUUUGUUUUCCUGUCACUCAACAUGCAUUUUAAAACUAAACAUCUUUAGAAAAGGAAAUUAGGAAAAGCUGAGAUAUCCUCCAGUACAGUGACAGUUAUAACAUUAUAUUCAGAGAAGCUAUGGCAGAAAAAUUAUUAGCCACGUUGACUAAGUUUCAUAUCUGUUUCUCUGGCUAUUAAACAAAGUCGUAUGUCUUUUGCAGUCAAAUUUUUGCACAGAGGCAAUUACUGCAUAGCAGCUAACAGUUUGCAAACUUUUUUUUUUGCACAGAAAUUUUUGCAUAGCAGCUAACAGUUUGCAAACUUUUCUUUUCCUUCUCUGCACAGCCAGAAUUCUUUCCUUUCCUUCCCAUUUUCUGUGACCUUUUCCUUUAUGUGCAGGCUUUACUACUAGCAUUUGUGCUUUGUAAUCACUUCUUUUCAGUAUCUUCUUCCUGGAGUUGAACCUCUUAGAAACUUAAACCCCCCACAAGAUGCAACCACCUGCUUACUAAACAAUAUUUUUAUUGUCAUCAUCACAUUUGGUCUUGACCUUUUUAUCCUGGCUUAGUUUCUUGGAAUAUUGCUGUGAGCCUAGGACAGUGACCAAAACUAAAGCUACCUGAGGUGGCAGAUGAUUCAGUUGCACCAGUGCUCAGCUUCUGAAAGUCCCUAGACUUGCUGGGCAAGAAAGACUGGAGAAUGAGCUCUGGUAGCUGCUGAACAGGGGCUCCUUUUGUACAAGAGGCAAGCUCUACCAUUUAGCCACUGCCCUAGUCACCCAGUGCUAGUGUACAUGCCAGCUCUUCUCACAACUGAUAAGGCCAUGUACUAGGGACAUGUUUCUCUAGAUACUAGGGGUUUGAUAAAUACAUUUCUGGUGCAGAGAUGGUGGUUCUGUUUGCUAUCUUUAUUUUAAAGCAGUCCCUCUUUUGAGUAUGUUUAUCUUGCUUUGCAUUCAUGUUUUAAGAGAUAUCAGGUAAUAUAGCUGAAUUAACAUUCUCUUUUCUUUGAAAAAAUAUUGACUAUCAUCUUGCAUGCUGUCAAUAAAAUUGCCCUGACACAAAAUAGAAUGCUGUGU